AUAGAGGAGUGCUCGAAAGAGAGCCGUAACACAGGUGCUGCAUGGCUGUCGUCAGCUCGUGUCGUGAGAUGUUGGGUUAAGUCCCGCAACGAGCGCAACCCUUGUCAUUAGUUGCUACGACAGGGGCACUCUAAUGAGACUGCCGGUGACAAACCGGAGGAAGGUGGGGAUGACGUCAAGUCCUCAUGGCCCUUAUAGGUGGGGCUACACACGUCAUACAAUGGCUGGUACAAAGGGUUGCCAACCCGCGAGGGGGAGCUAAUCCCAUAAAGCCAGUCGUAGUCCGGAUCGCAGUCUGCAACUCGACUGCGUGAAGUCGGAAUCGCUAGUAAUCGUGGAUCAGAAUGUCACGGUGAAUACGUUCCCGGGUCUU
This 373-nucleotide ribosomal RNA is filed under the name uncultured Hydrogenophaga sp. RNAcentral's name for it is "bacterial SSU rRNA". It matches the Rfam family "Bacterial small subunit ribosomal RNA", at positions 1004 to 1382 of the family's 1533-position model. The record is from RNAcentral. Lineage: Bacteria; Pseudomonadati; Pseudomonadota; Betaproteobacteria; Burkholderiales; Comamonadaceae.